Homo sapiens (human) is the source of this 150-nucleotide non-coding RNA. It matches the Rfam family "Metazoan signal recognition particle RNA". Rfam says of the family: The signal recognition particle (SRP) is a universally conserved ribonucleoprotein. Lineage: Eukaryota; Metazoa; Chordata; Mammalia; Primates; Hominidae. The record is from Rfam.
GCUGGGCAUGGUGGUGCAUGCCUGAGGUCCAGGCUACUUUGGAGGCUGAGGUGGGAGGAUCGCUUGAGCCAGGGAGGUUUAGACUGCAGUAGAGUCAUGAUUCAUACUACUGCACUCUAGCCUGAGCAACAAAGCAAGACCCUGUCUCAA